ACCUAGACUGUCUUGGUGACUUGCAAGCAACUCACUGGGCUUUGGUGCUAGACUAUCCAAAUUUUUAAUUCGAUGGUGGAAGAUUUUGGGUACAGUCAAGUACUUAUGAAGUCUGAGUGCGAGUCAAGAUGGAAUUGAUCGCUCCAAGUAAAAUUGAAGAUGAUGCAUCAUUGUAUUUCAAUUCAAUAAAAUUUUGAUCAAAAUAGUCCUAGUGAGA
This 217-nucleotide long non-coding RNA is filed under the name Elaeis guineensis (African oil palm). RNAcentral describes it as "long non-coding RNA (EGUI_LNC072264)". The record is from RNAcentral. Lineage: Eukaryota; Viridiplantae; Streptophyta; Magnoliopsida; Arecales; Arecaceae.